RNAcentral lists this ribosomal RNA (468 nucleotides) under uncultured bacterium. RNAcentral describes it as "partial 16S ribosomal RNA". It matches the Rfam family "Bacterial small subunit ribosomal RNA", at positions 28 to 507 of the family's 1533-position model. The record is from RNAcentral.
GACGAACGCUGGCGGCGUGCUUAACACAUGCAAGUCGAACGGAAAGGCCCUUCUUUUGUGGGGUGCUCGAGUGGCGAACGGGUGAGUAACACGUGAGUAACCUGCCCUUGACUUUGGGAUAACUUCAGGAAACUGGGGCUAAUACCGGAUAGGAGCUCCUGCUGCAUGGUGGGGGUUGGAAAGUUUCGGCGGUUGGGGAUGGACUCGCGGCUUAUCAGCUUGUUGGUGGGGUAGUGGCUUACCAAGGCUUUGACGGGUAGCCGGCCUGAGAGGGUGACCGGCCAAAUUGGGACUGAGAUACGGCCCAGACUCCUACGGGAGGCAGAAGUGGGGAAUAUUGAACAAUGGGCGGAAGCCUGAUGAAGCAACGCCGCGUGCGGGAUGACGGCCUUCGGGUUGUAAACCGCUUUCGCCUGUGACGAAGCGUGAGUGACGGUAAUGGGUAAAGAAGCACCGGCUAACUACGUG